CAGCCGCCGCGGUAAUACGGAGGGCGCGAGCGUUGUCCGGAAUUAUUGGGCGUAAAGCGCGCGCAGGCGGUCCCUUAAGUCUGAUGUGAAAGCCCACGGCUCAACCGUGGAGGGUCAUUGGAAACUGGGGGACUUGAGUGCAGAAGAGGAGAGCGGAAUUCCACGUGUAGCGGUGAAAUGCGUAGAGAUGUGGAGGAACACCAGUGGCGAAGGCGGCUCUCUGGUCUGUAACUGACGCUGAGGCGCGAAAGCGUGGGGAGCAACCAGGAUUAGAUACCCUGGUAGUCCACGCCGUAAACGAUGAGUGCUAAGUGUUAGAGGGGUUAAACCCUUUAGUGCUGUAGCUAACGCGUUAAGCACUCCGCCUGGGGAGUACGGCCGCAAGGCUGAAACUUAAAGGAAUUGGCGGG
RNAcentral lists this ribosomal RNA (410 nucleotides) under uncultured microorganism. RNAcentral's name for it is "bacterial SSU rRNA". It matches the Rfam family "Bacterial small subunit ribosomal RNA", at positions 509 to 917 of the family's 1533-position model. The record is from RNAcentral.